Molecule: ribosomal RNA, 252 nt
Filed under: uncultured bacterium
Lineage: Bacteria
Description: partial 16S ribosomal RNA
Rfam family: Bacterial small subunit ribosomal RNA
Source: RNAcentral
UACGUAGGUCCCGAGCGUUGUCCGGAUUUAUUGGGCGUAAAGCGAGCGCAGGUGGUUUAUUAAGUCUGGUGUAAAAGGCAGUGGCUCGACCAUUGUAUGCAUUGGAGACUGGUAGACUUGAGUGCAGGAGAGGAGAGUGGAAUUCCAUGUGUAGCGGUGAAAUGCGUAGAUAUAUGGAGGAACACCGGUGGCGAAAGCGGCUCUCUGGCCUGUAACUGACACUGAGGCUCGAAAGCGUGGGGAGCAAACAGG